This 1418-nucleotide ribosomal RNA is filed under the name uncultured organism. RNAcentral's name for it is "16S ribosomal RNA". It matches the Rfam family "Bacterial small subunit ribosomal RNA". The record is from RNAcentral.
UAAGACAUGCAAGUCGAACGAGAGAAUUGCUUGCUUGCUAAUAAUUCUCUAGUGGCGCACGGGUGAGUAACACGUGAGUAACCUGCCCCCGAGAGCGGGAUAGCCCUGGGAAACUGGGAUUAAUACCGCAUAGUAUCGAAAGAUUAAAGCAGCAAUGCGCUUGGGGAUGGGCUCGCGGCCUAUUAGUUAGUUGGUGAGGUAACGGCUCACCAAGGCGAUGACGGGUGGCCGGUCUGAGAGGAUGUCCGGCCACACUGGAACUGAGACACGGUCCAGACACCUACGGGUGGCAGCAGUCGAGAAUCAUUCACAAUGGGGGAAACCCUGAUGGUGCGACGCCGCGUGGGGGAAUGAAGGUCUUCGGAUUGUAAACCCCUGUCAUGUGGGAGCAAAUUAAAAAGAUAGUACCACAAGAGGAAGAGACGGCUAACUCUGUGCCAGCAGCCGCGGUAAUACAGAGGUCUCAAGCGUUGUUCGGAAUCACUGGGCGUAAAGCGUGCGUAGGCUGUUUCGUAAGUCGUGUGUGAAAGGCGCGGGCUCAACCCGCGGACGGCACAUGAUACUGCGAGACUAGAGUAAUGGAGGGGGAACCGGAAUUCUCGGUGUAGCCAUGAAAUGCGUAGAUAUCGAGAGGAACACUCGUGGCGAAAGCGGGUUCCUGGACAUUAACUUGACGCCUGAAGCACGAAGGCCAGGGGAGCGAAAGGGAUUAGAUACCCCUGUAGUCCUGGCAGUAAACGGUGCACGCUUGGUGUGCGGGGAAUCGACCCCCUGCGUGCCGGAGCUAACGCGUUAAGCGUGCCGCCUGGGGAGUACGGUCGCAAGAUUAAAACUCAAAGAAAUUGACGGGGACCCGCACAAGCGGUGGAGUAUGUGGCUUAAUUCGAUGCAACGCGAAGAACCUUACCUGGGCUUGACAUGUAAUGAACAACAUGUGAAAGCAUGCGACUCUUCGGAGGCGUUACACAGGUGCUGCAUGGCCGUCGUCAGCUCGUGUCGUGAGAUGUUUGGUUAAGUCCAGCAACGAGCGCAACCCCUGUUGCCAGUUACCAGCACGUGAAGGUGGGGACUCUGGCGAGACUGCCCAGAUCAACUGGGAGGAAGGUGGGGACGACGUCAGGUCAGUAUGGCCCUUAUGCCCAGGGCUGCACACGUACUACAAUGCCCAGUACAGAGGGGGCCGAAGCCGCGAGGCGGAGGAAAUCCUGAAAACUGGGCCCAGUUCGGACUGUAGGCUGCAACCCGCCUACACGAAGCCGGAAUCGCUAGUAAUGGCGCAUCAGCUACGGCGCCGUGAAUACGUUCCCGGGUCUUGUACACACCGCCCGUCACAUCAUGGAAGCCGGUCGCACCCGAAGUAUCUGAAGCCAACCGCAAGGAGGCAGGGUCCUAAGGUGAGACUGGUAACUGGGAUGAAG